Long non-coding RNA from Mustela lutreola (European mink), 1538 nucleotides. RefSeq lists it as uncharacterized. Lineage: Eukaryota; Metazoa; Chordata; Mammalia; Carnivora; Mustelidae. The record is from RefSeq and is a predicted model, not a curated record. The transcript is spliced from 2 exons.
UUUGCUUCAUCUGGAGAUGAAGAGCAGAGCUGAGCCGAGCGCGGGCGGGGCGGGUGGCCAGGAAGGGAGCUCGGUGCUCAGAGGACUCGCCGGGUGAGCAGGUAGCUGGGAAGGUGAACAAACAUUUGCCAGAAACAGCCCUUUCGCUGGCAAGUUGGGAUCCGGGAGAAGUAAGACUGACCAACACGUUGGGGUGCCUGGCCCAUGCCAGGCGCAGUGCCCCGUGCUCCUGCGUUCCCCACCGUCCGUUCCGCCCAGGGCCCUCCGAGGGAGGCGCUGGGUCGUCUCCAUUGUGCAGAUGGGCAAAGUGCGGUUUCAAGGCUGAAGUGGAUUUCCCCAGGUUCUGUUCCAAGUGCUUUCAGCGGUCAGGCAUCCCUCUCGGAGAUACUGAAGGUGCCGAACACACCAUGAAGUUCGCGUCUCUGUCUGUCUGUCUGUCUGACCCACCCCCUGAUGCCCGGCCUGAUGACGGUGACUCUUCCUAGAAGCGGAUGGAGCCUGCAAGGCGCCCUGUGGGAAGAACCAUGCCUCUGUGUCUCCCGCAAGAUUCGAAUCUGUAGUCCGAGGACUCAGGGCGUCCCCCGGAGCCAUGGGUUGGGAUUAGACACCAGGUAUAAUUCUAGCAGAGCUCUGGAGAAGCCAUGUUGGCCUCUUGGAGCCGCCCCUCACCGCACGGCUUCCUUCCUAUAAUACAAGCACAAUGUGUGGUCAGUCAGUUAAAAAAAAAAAUAGCAAAGGGAUCAGCUGGAGUUUGUGAAAGUCCAUCUGUGUUUGGGCUGCGCCAUGGCCUACCUGAGCAGAAUGACCUGGGUGAGGCCAUCUUGGGGGGAAGAGAGGUCGCAGCUACAGCUGGUUCUCCACAGCCAGAGGGAACAGUCAAAAGUGCUGCCAACUCCCAGGUCCUUGUGGACUGUCUCUGAACCACUAAAUGAAGUCGUCCUUGAGGCUCAUGAUCAAAAAGCGCCUCUGAAUCUUUGUCAUGCCCACGGAGGCAGCCGCCCCCAUUGUGGAAGAAAUCAGAGGGUUCUAAAGAUGUCGAGCAUCUCCCGCUGAAACUGGGGAAGCUGGCUGUCCUUCAGCUUCCCUCUCAUCUCUAGGUCAUUCCUGAAGUACCAGUCACAGAGGUCAUGGUAGACCACGGUCCCUGAGGCGGCUGUCUGGGAUGACCAUCAGUCCGGUUCUUCAUCUUGGCCCCGUCUCUGCGCUGUCACCCUUAGCUGGUCGUGCUUGUACGGGAAGAUGUUUUUGCUCUCGGCACUAGAAAUAGCUGUUCUCAGUAUCAGUGAGGAGAAAACCCCUUGCACUGGACAUCAGAGCGGCGGAAAGGACAGCGUGUUUAUUUCCAUGUCACUGUAGCUCUUCACGGGGGACGAUCACGGCAGUCUCAAACUCAGUCUUCUCAGCCUGCUGUCCCUUCUCUUUAGGACCUGCUUUACAUUGCAGAAGGGAUGCAGCUCCUAAACCUGGUGUUAGGAGAUGAGCAUUAGAUUAACUCUAAGAAGCCUGGAGAACCCUUUAAAUAAAAUAUUCGGCCUCUC